GACGAACGCUGGCGGCGUGCUUAACACAUGCAAGUCGAACGGAAAGGCCCUGCUUUUGUGGGGUGCUCGAGUGGCGAACGGGUGAGUAACACGUGAGUAACCUGCCCUUGACUUUGGGAUAACUUCAGGAAACUGGGGCUAAUACCGGAUAGGAGCUCCUGCUGCAUGGUGGGGGUUGGAAAGUUUCGGCGGUUGGGGAUGGACUCGCGGCUUAUCAGCUUGUUGGUGGGGUAGUGGCCUACCAAGGCUUUGACGCGUAGCCGGCCUGAGAGGGUGACCGGCCCCGUUGGGACGGAGAUACGGCACAGACUCAUACGGGACGCAGCAGUGGGGAAGAUUGUACAAUGGGAUGAAGGCUGCUGUAGCCACGCCGCGUGCGGGAUGACGGGCUGCGGGUUGGUAUCCGCUUUCGCCUGUGCCGAAGAGUGAGUGACGGUAAUGGGUAAAGAAGCACCGGCUAACUACGUG
RNAcentral lists this ribosomal RNA (468 nucleotides) under uncultured bacterium. RNAcentral describes it as "partial 16S ribosomal RNA". It matches the Rfam family "Bacterial small subunit ribosomal RNA", at positions 28 to 507 of the family's 1533-position model. The record is from RNAcentral.